Long non-coding RNA from Mauremys mutica (yellowpond turtle), 415 nucleotides. RefSeq lists it as uncharacterized. Lineage: Eukaryota; Metazoa; Chordata; Testudines; Geoemydidae. The record is from RefSeq and is a predicted model, not a curated record. The transcript has 3 exons.
AGAGUGGGAGCUUCCCCACCUUCCCGGCCACAGGUCCACGGGGCUCAUGGAUGGAGGAGUUUGGGGGGCUGUGGGGGCCCCUGAAGGACUAGCUCAGCGUGUGAAUGAGUGACUGGGAUAGGCCGCGUGUGAGCGAGAGAGAGAGAGAGAGAACUACGCUUCCCAGAGUGCACCGGGAGGGGCGCGUUGGCUGAGCAACCUGACGUCACUUCCGGUCUGAGACGAGCCAGGAACUACAACUCCCAGCCUGCCCCGGGGCGCCUCCGUCCUCUCCUGCCCAGGCAACUCAUUCAAUCGAGACCAAAACGACAGGAGGUGUCACGUGUCCAUGGGCGGGGCUAUGCAGAUGAGCAGUGUCUGGCGGCAGGACGGAGAUCAGCGAGAGGAACCGAACGAGCCCGGCGGAGAGAAUUCU